CUACGGGAGGCAGCAGUAGGGAAUCUUCCACAAUGGACGCAAGUCUGAUGGAGCAACGCCGCGUGAGUGAAGAAGGUUUUCGGAUCGUAAAGCUCUGUUGUUGGUGAAGAAGGAUAGAGGUAGUAACUGGCCUUUAUUUGACGGUAAUCAACCAGAAAGUCACGGCUAACUACGUGCCAGCAGCCGCGGUAAUACGUAGGUGGCAAGCGUUGUCCGGAUUUAUUGGGCGUAAAGCGAGCGCAGGCGGAAAAAUAAGUCUAAUGUGAAAGCCCUCGGCUUAACCGAGGAACUGCAUCGGAAACUGUUUUUCUUGAGUGCAGAAGAGGAGAGUGGAACUCCAUGUGUAGCGGUGGAAUGCGUAGAUAUAUGGAAGAACACCAGUGGCGAAGGCGGCUCUCUGGUCUGCAACUGACGCUGAGGCUCGAAAGCAUGGGUAGCGAACAGGAUUAGAUACCCUGGUAGUCCAUGCCGUAAACGAUGAGUGCUAAGUGUUGGGAGGUUUCCGCCUCUCAGUGCUGCAGCUAACGCAUUAAGCACUCCGCCUGGGGAGUACGACCGCAAGGUUGAAACUCAAAGGAAUUGACGGGGGCCCGCACAAGCGGUGGAGCAUGUGGUUUAAUUCGAAGCAACGCGAAGAACCUUACCAGGUCUUGACAUCUAGUGCAAUCUGUAGAGAUACGGAGUUCCCUUCGGGGACGCUAAGACAGGUGGUGCAUGGCUGUCGUCAGCUCGUGUCGUGAGAUGUUGGGUUAAGUCCCGCAACGAGCGCAACCCUUGUUAUUAGUUGCCAGCAUUAAGUUGGGCACUCUAAUGAGACUGCCGGUGACAAACCGGAGGAAGGUGGGGAUGACGUCAAGUCAUCAUGCCCCUUAUGACCUGGGCUACACACGUGCUACAAUGGGCAGUACAACGAGAAGCAAGCCUGCGAAGGCAAGCGAAUCUCUGAAAGCUGUUCUCAGUUCGGACUGCAGUCUGCAACUCGACUGCACGAAGCUGGAAUCGCUAGUAAUCGCGGAUCAGCACGCCGCGGUGAAUACGUUCCCGGGCCUUGUACACACCGCCCGUCACACCAUGGGAGUCUGCAAUGCCCAAAGCCGGUGGCCUAACCUUCGGGAAGGAGCCGUCUAA
This 1128-nucleotide ribosomal RNA is filed under the name Lactobacillus amylovorus. RNAcentral describes it as "bacterial SSU rRNA". It matches the Rfam family "Bacterial small subunit ribosomal RNA", at positions 339 to 1460 of the family's 1533-position model. The record is from RNAcentral. Lineage: Bacteria; Bacillati; Bacillota; Bacilli; Lactobacillales; Lactobacillaceae.